This 497-nucleotide ribosomal RNA is filed under the name uncultured bacterium. RNAcentral describes it as "partial 16S ribosomal RNA". It matches the Rfam family "Bacterial small subunit ribosomal RNA", at positions 28 to 507 of the family's 1533-position model. The record is from RNAcentral.
GAUGAACGCUGGCGGCGUGCCUAAUACAUGCAAGUCGAGCGAACAGACGAGGAGCUUGCUCCUCUGACGUUAGCGGCGGACGGGUGAGUAACACGUGGAUAACCUACCUAUAAGACUGGGAUAACUUCGGGAAACCGGAGCUAAUACCGGAUAAUAUAUUGAACCGCAUGGUUCAAUAGUGAAAGACGGUUUUGCUGUCACUUAUAGAUGGAUCCGCGCCGCAUUAGCUAGUUGGUAAGGUAACGGCUUACCAAGGCAACGAUGCGUAGCCGACCUGAGAGGGUGAUAGGCCAAACUGGAACUGAGACACGGGCCAGACUCCUACGGGAGGCAGCAGUAGGGAAUAUUCCGCAAUGGGCGAAAGCCUGACGGAGCAAUGCCGCGUGAGUGAUGAAGGUCUUCGGAUCGUAAAACUCUGUUAUUAGGGAAGAACAGAUGUGUAAGUAACUGUGCACAUCUUGACGGUACCUAAUCAGAAAGCCACGGCUAACUACGUG